CACCCACAGCAUAUGGAGGUUCCCAGGCAAGGAGUCCAAUCGGAGCUGUAGCCACCGGCCUACACCACAGUCACAGUAACGUGGGAUCUGAGCCAUGUCUUCAACCUACAUUACAACUCACAGCAACACUGGAUCCCUAACCAUGGAUCAAGGCUGGGGAUUGAACCUACGUCCUCAUGGAUGCUACUUGGGUUCACUAACAGCUGAGCCAUGACAGGAACACCAGUACUCUUUUGUAUUCAAUAAAAUAUCCAUCGUUUUAAAGAACAGAAGAAUAAUAAAAUUCCUUAUUGUCAGUGUGGGUUUUCUGCUAUUUAUAGCCAAAAUAAAACAUGGCCCCAAUUCAUGUAGUCAAUAAGGACCUUUCUUAUUUUCGCAAAUGAGACCCCACGUCCACUCACCAAUCUCAGCUACUCCUAGUUUUCUCCAUCAUGGAUUUCUAGGUUCCCUGGAAUAUUAGCCUAUUUGGCUAGAAUAAGAAAUCCAGGGAGUUCCCAUUGUGGCUCAAUGGUUAAUGACCCUGACUAAUAUGCAUGAGGAUGCCAGUUCGAUCUCUGGCCUCACUCAGUGGGUUAAGGAUUCAGCGUUGCCGUGAGCUGUGGUGUAGGUCAUGGCUCAGAUCUGGCAUUGCUGUGACUGUGACGUAGGCCAGCAGCUGCAGCUCCAAUUGGUCCCCUAGCCUGGGAACAUCCAUGUGCCACAGGUGUGGCCUUAAAAAGAAAAAAAAGAAAGAAAGAAAGAAAGAAGUCCAGGAGAAAAAAGGCCCAGCACGUGUAGGUGCUCACUGGUGUUUCCUGAAGGCAAGGUGGUGUUAGACGCCUUCCACCAGAAUUUCUGUUUCCUGAAUUUGGAGGCUUCCAGUCCCCAUCGUUGGCCUCUCCAUCCUCCAUCCUUAACUGGACCCCCGGGGGAAGGGUAGGGAGGCUGAGGACGUGGGCAGAGAAGAGGAACCAAAGGAAAUGAGGAUCCAAUUACCAGCUGUAUGACCUUGGGGAAGUUGCUUAAUUUUAUGGAGCCUCUUCUGCUAAAUGAUAAUAAUGGUAAUUAUCGAACUGAUUAACUCAAGGAGAAUCGUUGCAUUGAUUCCUCACUGAUAAAUAGUAUGACAUUCUGCCCAAAGCCCCUCUUCAGAGCCCGCCCUCCUCUUCCCCAGGCGCUGGGAAGGCUGGCUAUGGAUGGCACAGUCCCCCCACCACAGGCAGAUGACAACUUGGCCAAGAUCGUGGGCUGGGGUGGCCCCAGCCUAUGAGUGACUGCUGCGCAGACCUAAAGGAGCAUCCCCUUGGGUCACUUCGGGAUAACGUUCAAGGCCAUCCCCCUCCCGAGUAUCCUGUGGGAGCUUCUGAGUCCUGGUCACAGCCACAUGGCAGGUCCAUUUCUCUUCCUGCCCAAUCUUGCCAUCCCAGCUUCCCGACAGGUCAGUCUCCAGAGAGUAAUCCUGAGUAAACUCUCUGAGUGCAAUUCUCAUUUCUGAGUCUGUUUCUAGGAAACCUUAUCGAAAACAAUGCUGAUGACGGGGAGGCUACUAACGAUAGUGGAUCCACCAGGGCUGUGGGAGUCUGGGACAAGAUAAGGACGGUCAAGAGUUGCCGCUGUCCAACACGAAAGAGUCAAUCCUGAAUCUGAAGCUUCUCUUCGGUGAGGGGGGAAGAAAAAGAUUCCCUUGAGAGUCAUUUGGUGUGAUUUAUUUCUCCUUCUUAUGUUAUCCCAAGAGGAGAGCCAUUAGUUUCUCUCGUGGUGGCUGUCCUGGGUCCCCAGAGGGAGUUAUUCCACAGGGAGGGGCCCUACCCUAUAAUAUGCUCCGAGUCCCUGGCAUUCUGUAUGCUGUCAAUGCUUUACCCUCUCUGAGCACUUCCAUCAGAAUCCAUACCCUCAAGCUACAGACAUCCUCUCUCACCUCCUCUCUCAGCUUCCAAGAGAGCUAAUCCCCCAUCUAGUGCUUUAUCUGUCUAGAGAGAAACGCCCAGAGAAACCUGCCAAUCUGAACAGAAUAGAGUGUGGGAAAUCGUAUCAGACCUCCCUGUAAGUCACCAAACAGUGCAGGCAGUAAAAUUCUAAUACCACGCUGAGUCUGUUAUUGUAAUGAGAAGAGAAACUGAUGCAACGUCAAUCCAUCCUUAUUGCAGCAUGAAGAUUCUCCUAUAAUGCCAUACUGAACUCCAACUUGGAGGCAAUCCCCUGCUAACCUACUCAAAACUGCCCUAGAAUCAGCCUUUGAGUCUUCAGAAUUUUUAGUCUGAUGAUAACCAAGAGAGGAUUGUGGCUCUCAAAAAAAAAAAAAAAAUCAUUCCCACUGAGAUCUUGAAACAGAGCCUCCUACAAAAUUCAGUAAUAGAAGAGAGAUGGAUGGGAUAGAAAUGCAGACUGGCAACCUGAGACAUCACACAGGUGAGGGAAUAUUGGUCCAUAUUUAUUAUUUUGCCUCCUGACAGCAUCUUCAGACCAAACUGCCACAGAAGAACUCAGUCAUGGUUCCAGGAAAAAAAAAAAAAAGUACACAAUUAGAGAUAGACAGGGCAGAUAGAUAGUGAUAGGAAAAAGAAUACUUCCAGGCAAGGUAGAGCAAAUGGCAAGACGUCCAGGUCAGUGGCACUGGUGUGACUGCAGACAAAUUCACAUUUCCCGGAAAAAAAAAUGAGAUAAUCAUUGGGAGGAGAUGGCAGGAUGUGGUGGUGCAUGUUUGACACCAGUCCUGUUCCUUUAUUUGUGCCAGGAUGGCUGAUUUUGAUCAAGUAGCAAAGCUCCCACCUCAAGGAAGCACAUCAUAUUUCUAAGCCAGUCAAGGUAUUCUGUGCUUUCGUGGAUUAUUUCCAGGUAGGCUUGUGAUGAGCCAAUUAAAUGAAAGAGACAGGCUGCUGGGGCUGGUCAGCAAGACAUCUCUCCACAGAAGGAUCGAGGUAAAGCCUAGGACUCUGUUAUGCCAUGCCCAGCUUGUUUCAACACAUGUACACUUAAUAUAUAGUCAUCAAAAUAUGCAUAUGGGGAGUCACAGCAGACCUAUCCAUCCAUGACCUAAAAGAACUUGGAAGCAACUCAAAUAACCAUAAGUAAUAGAAUAAAUAAGCGCCAGUAUAACUAUGUAGUGGAAUAUUACACAGCAAUGACAAUGAACAAAAUAUAUGUACUCUCGACUCACUGGAUGAAUCUGUCACAGCCACAGAAGACAGUUGCCAUAAAGGACAUGCUGUGUUAUUCCAUUUACAUAAAAUUUUAUUUUUUAAUUUAUUAUUUAUUUAUU
Molecule: long non-coding RNA, 3238 nt
Filed under: Sus scrofa (pig)
Lineage: Eukaryota; Metazoa; Chordata; Mammalia; Artiodactyla; Suidae
Description: lncRNA (ENSSSCG00035050090.1)
Source: RNAcentral